This 77-nucleotide transfer RNA is filed under the name Streptomyces cinnabarinus. RNAcentral's name for it is "tRNA-Ser". The record is from RNAcentral. Lineage: Bacteria; Bacillati; Actinomycetota; Actinomycetes; Kitasatosporales; Streptomycetaceae.
GCCGUUUCAGCACCCCGCAUGACGCGGUGAUCGAACUCCUAGAGCGGGUGUCGCAGGUUCGAAUCCUGCCGGGGGCA